RNAcentral lists this ribosomal RNA (426 nucleotides) under uncultured prokaryote. RNAcentral's name for it is "bacterial SSU rRNA". It matches the Rfam family "Bacterial small subunit ribosomal RNA", at positions 355 to 796 of the family's 1533-position model. The record is from RNAcentral.
UGGGGAAUUUUGCGCAAUGGGCGAAAGCCUGACGCAGUAACGCCGCGUGGGGGAUGAAGGCCCUAUGGGUCGUAAACCCCUUUCAGUGGGGACGAAACUGACGGUACCCACAGAAGAAGGUCCGGCCAACUACGUGCCAGCAGCCGCGGUAAGACGUAGGGACCGAGCGUUGUCCGGAUUUAUUGGGCGUAAAGAGCUCGUAGGCGGUUGCGUAAGUCGGAUGUGAAAGCUCGGGGCUCAACCCCGAGACGCCAUCCGAUACUGCGCUGACUUGAAUCCAGUAGGGGAGUGUGGAAUUUGUUGUGUAGCGGUGAAAUGCGCAGAUAUAACAAGGAACACCUAUGGCGAAGGCAGCACUCUGGGCUGGUAUUGACGCUGAGGAGCGAAAGCGUGGGUAGCAAACAGGAUUAGAUACCCGUGUAGUCC